Molecule: small nucleolar RNA, 70 nt
Filed under: Cepphus grylle
Lineage: Eukaryota; Metazoa; Chordata; Aves; Charadriiformes; Alcidae
Also listed under: 2 other names
Description: Small nucleolar RNA SNORD2
Rfam family: Small nucleolar RNA SNORD2
Source: Rfam by way of RNAcentral
AAGUGAUAUGAUGGUAUACCAUCUUUCGGGACUGACCUGAAAUGGAGAGAACUCUUAAUACUGAUCACUU